UCCCUGGUAGUAUAUCGGUUAGUACACGCGCCUGUCAUCCGUUGCGCCAUAUGGCAUGGUUGUGUCCGCGCGAAAGCGGGGUUCGACUCCCCGCCAGGGAG
Non-coding RNA from Laetiporus sulphureus 93-53, 101 nucleotides. The record is from the annotation of a RefSeq genome assembly. NCBI's taxonomy places the organism in Eukaryota, Fungi, Basidiomycota, Agaricomycetes, Polyporales, Laetiporaceae.